CCAUUAGCGUAUAUUAAAGUUGUUGCAGUUAAAAAGCUCGUAGUUGAAUUUCGGGGUUAGUAGGUUGGUCAUGCCUCUGGUAUGUACUGGUCUCACUGAUUCCUCCUUCCUGAUGAACCGUAAUGCCAUUAAUUUGGUGUUGCGGGGAAUUUGGACUGUUACUUUGAAAAAAUUAGAGUGUUUAAAGCAAGCUAACGCUUGAAUACAUUAGCAUGGAAUAAUGAAAUAGGACGUUCGAUCCUAUUUUGUUGGUUUCUAGGAUUGACGUAAUGAUUAAUAGGGAUAGUUGGGGGCAUUAGUAUUCAAUUGUCAGAGGUGAAAUUCUUGGAUUUAUUGAAGACUAACUACUGCGAAAGCAUUUGCCAAGGAUGUUUUCAUUAAUCAAGAACGAAAGUUAGGGGAUCGAAGACGAUCAGAUACCGUCGUAGUCUUAACCAUAAACUAUGCCGACUAGGGAUCGGAUGAUGUUAAUUUUUUAAUGACUCAUUCGGCGCCUUACG
Molecule: ribosomal RNA, 500 nt
Filed under: uncultured Glomeromycotina
Lineage: Eukaryota; Fungi; Glomeromycota
Description: partial small subunit ribosomal RNA
Rfam family: Eukaryotic small subunit ribosomal RNA
Source: RNAcentral